AACGAACGCUGGCGGCAUGCCUAACACAUGCAAGUCGAACGAGACCUUCGGGUCUAGUGGCGCACGGGUGCGUAACGCGUGGGAACCUGCCCUUAGGUUCGGAAUAACUCCCCGAAAGGGGUGCUAAUACCGGAUAAUGUCUUCGGACCAAAGAUUUAUCGCCUUUGGAUGGGCCCGCGUUGGAUUAGCUAGUUGGUAGGGUAAAAGCCUACCAAGGCGACGAUCCAUAGCUGGUCUGAGAGGAUGAUCAGCCACACUGGGACUGAGACACGGCCCAGACUCCUACGGGAGGCAGCAGUGGGGAAUAUUGGACGAUGGGCGAAAGCCUGAUCCAGCAAUGCCGCGUAAGUGAUGAAGGCCUUAGGGUUGUAAAGCUCUUUUACCCGAGGUGAUAAUGACGGUACCGGGAGAAUAAGCUCCGGCUAACUCCGUG
RNAcentral lists this ribosomal RNA (433 nucleotides) under uncultured bacterium. RNAcentral describes it as "partial 16S ribosomal RNA". It matches the Rfam family "Bacterial small subunit ribosomal RNA", at positions 29 to 507 of the family's 1533-position model. The record is from RNAcentral.